UCCCCGGUAGCUCAGCGGUAGAGCAACCGGCUGUUAACCGGUUGGUCGCUGGUUCGAAUCCGGCCCGGGGAGCCA
This 75-nucleotide transfer RNA is filed under the name Brucella abortus. Its description in RNAcentral is "tRNA-Asn (GTT) (tRNA-Asn-GTT-1-1)". It matches the Rfam family "tRNA". Rfam says of the family: Transfer RNA (tRNA) molecules are approximately 80 nucleotides in length. Their secondary structure includes four short double-helical elements and three loops (D, anti-codon, and T loops). Further hydrogen bonds mediate the characteristic L-shaped molecular structure. tRNAs have two regions of fundamental functional importance: the anti-codon, which is responsible for specific mRNA codon recognition, and the 3' end, to which the tRNAs corresponding amino acid is attached (by aminoacyl-tRNA synthetases). tRNAs cope with the degeneracy of the genetic code in two manners: having more than one tRNA (with a specific anti-codon) for a particular amino acid; and 'wobble' base-pairing, i.e. permitting non-standard base-pairing at the 3rd anti-codon position. The record is from RNAcentral. RNAcentral also lists the same sequence under 525 other names. Lineage: Bacteria; Pseudomonadati; Pseudomonadota; Alphaproteobacteria; Hyphomicrobiales; Brucellaceae.